Molecule: non-coding RNA, 105 nt
Organism: Capsicum annuum
Lineage: Eukaryota; Viridiplantae; Streptophyta; Magnoliopsida; Solanales; Solanaceae
Source: Rfam
UAUCGAUGAUGAGGACAAUAAAGUAGUAAUAUCUUGAAAAGUUCACAUUCUUGGGUAAGCCUUCACUUUCUUUUUGCUUAAAACCAAAUUCUUAUUUCUUAAUUU